GUGUUCAAGGUUGUCACCUCCUCAACAAUGCAUGUAGAUAGGGCCUAUAUAGGUCAUAAUUUGUAUGUUGUAUAAAAUGCUUAAUUAUAGUAUUGUAAUGUAGAUUAUGAAAAUGUAAUUAAUAGGAAUGUGAUGUAAAUUAAUAAAUUAACUUUUUCAUAUGUAAUUAAUUUAUAUAUCAUGUAAAUUAUGAAAUCAUGUAAAUUAAAGAAAUUUGAAAAUUUUACUUAUGUGAUUGAACAUGAAUGAGAUUGUAUGGAUUCGAAGACAGAUUUGAAAUAUAUAGAUAAUGCAUGGAAAUGAAUAUGAAAUUGAGAUAUAUGAAUGAGAUGUGAAUUAUGAGAUGGUUAUGAAAAUAAUUGAUGAGAUUUUAUUUGUAAAAUAUUAUUGAAACUUUCAAACAGGUAAAUAGUAAAAU
RNAcentral lists this unclassified non-coding RNA (418 nucleotides) under Hevea brasiliensis (rubber tree). Lineage: Eukaryota; Viridiplantae; Streptophyta; Magnoliopsida; Malpighiales; Euphorbiaceae. The record is from RNAcentral.